RNAcentral lists this ribosomal RNA (1455 nucleotides) under Triticum aestivum (bread wheat). Its description in RNAcentral is "partial small subunit ribosomal RNA". The record is from RNAcentral. Lineage: Eukaryota; Viridiplantae; Streptophyta; Magnoliopsida; Poales; Poaceae.
AUGACGAGCUUGCCUGAGAGGGGUGCAACACCGCCAUCCAAUCCUACGUCGUCAUCGUCGUGUGAGGGGGACGCUGCCGUAGCUUCUUCUUCGGCUUCUUCCGCCUCAGAGGAGCAGAAGAAGGACGGCAGCCCGAAGCAGUGCAAGGCGUCUAUCCUCUCGAGCGUUCUCACCAUCUUCGAGCCGGACCAGGAUCAGUCAGGCAGGUCAGGGGGUCACGCCUCCGGGUCCUAUGCUUGGUCGAGGGUUCUGAGGCGGUUUGUGGGUGGCGGCUCCAUGUGGCGUUUCCUGGGAUGCGGCAAGGCUCUGACCGCCGCCGACGUCUGGUUCCUUGGAAAAUGCUACAAGCUGUCAUCCGAGGAGUCGUCGAGUGACUCGGAUUCUGAGGGCGGGCAUGCUGCGUUCUUGGAGGACUUCUCGUCCAGGGUAUGGAUCACCUACAGGAAAGGUUUUGAUGCCAUAUCUGAUUCCAAGCUCACAAGUGAUGUCAACUGGGGUUGCAUGGUUAGAAGCAGUCAGAUGCUGGUUGCACAGGCACUGAUUUUUCAUCAUCUUGGAAGGUCUUGGAGAAAGCCCGCACAGAGUCCAUCUGACCCAGAACAUACAAGGAUCUUACACCUGUUCGGUGAUUCUGAAGUCUGCGCUUUCUCCAUUCACAAUUUACUUCAAGCUGGAAAGAGUUACGGUCUGGCUGCUGGAUCAUGGGUGGGUCCAUAUGCUAUGUGUCGGGCAUGGCAAACCCUUAUCCGCACAAACAGAGAGCAACCUGAAGUUAUAAAUAGGAAUGAAAGUUUUCCUAUGGCGCUCUAUGUGGUCUCGGGUGAUGAAGAUGGUGAAAGAGGUGGAGCUCCAGUUGUUUGCAUUGAUGUUGCUGCUCAGCUUUGCUAUGAUUUCAACAAGGAUCAAUCAGCAUGGUCGCCUAUUCUUUUGUUGGUUCCUCUGGUUCUUGGUCUUGACAAAAUUAAUCCAAGGUACAUCCCACUACUAAAGGAGACAUUCACAUUUCCUCAAAGCUUGGGCAUUUUAGGUGGAAAACCUGGAGCAUCAACUUACAUUGCUGGGGUGCAGGAUGACAGGGCACUCUACCUAGAUCCCCAUGAGGUUCAGAUGGCAGUUAACAUAGCAUCUGAUAACUUGGAGGCGGACACUUCCUCAUACCACUGCAGCACCGUCCGUGAUAUGCCUCUAGACCUGAUAGAUCCAUCCCUGGCAAUUGGUUUUUACUGCCGUGACAAAGAUGACUUUGAUGAUUUCUGUUCUCGGGCCUCGGAGUUGGCAGAGCAGGCGAACGGAGCACCGCUCUUCACUGUCGUGCAGUCAGUUCAGCCGUCGAAACAGAUGUACAACCAGGAUGAUGGGUCCGGCUGUUCAGGCUACGGCGUCUCCGACAACAUCGACGCGGAGGACCUUGAUGGCUCGGGCGAAACAGGAGAAGACGAGUGGCAGAUUCUCUGA